RNAcentral lists this ribosomal RNA (403 nucleotides) under bacterium. RNAcentral's name for it is "partial 16S ribosomal RNA". It matches the Rfam family "Bacterial small subunit ribosomal RNA", at positions 355 to 776 of the family's 1533-position model. The record is from RNAcentral.
UGGGGAAUAUUGCACAAUGGAGGGAACUCUGAUGCAGCGACGCCGCGUGAACGAAGAAGGCUUUCGCGUCGUAAAGUUCUUUUAUAUGGGAAGAUAAUGACGGUACCAUAAGAAAAAGCCCCGGCUAACUACGUGCCAGCAGCCGCGGUAAUACGUAGGGGGCUAGCGUUGUCCGGAAUCACUGGGCGUAAAGGGUUCGCAGGCGGAAAUGCAAGUCAGGUGUAAAAGGCAGUAGCUUAACUACUGUAAGCAUUUGAAACUGCAUAUCUUGAGAAGAGUAGAGGUAAGUGGAAUUUUUAGUGUAGCGGUGAAAUGCGUAGAUAUUAAAAAGAAUACCGGUGGCGAAGGCGACUUACUGGGCUCAUUCUGACGCUGAGGAACGAAAGAGUGGGUAGCAAACAGG